Non-coding RNA from Tricladium varicosporioides, 104 nucleotides. The record is from the annotation of a GenBank genome assembly. NCBI's taxonomy places the organism in Eukaryota, Fungi, Ascomycota, Leotiomycetes, Helotiales, Tricladiaceae.
GUGUGGUUGUAGUAGUGGUUAACUGGUCUGCUUCCCACCUUAAUUCCAACAAACGUAGAAUGGGUACCCAGCAGGAGACAUGGGUUCGAACCCCAUACCACGCA